GCUAAAGCAAAAUCCCUUUUUUUAAAAAGUAAAGAAAUCACCAUCCUUACUGUACAUUUUAUAAAACAUCAGUCUGUGUGCCUGUCAUUUCUCUAUAGAUUCUGAGGGGUUGCUUCUCUGGGUUUCACUGGCUGUCUAUCUGCUGUCCUCUUUAACUCCAUCAGCCCUCUGAAAGCUGCUCUGCUCCACCCAAAAACUAGUCCCGUUACCAUAACUGGUCUGCUGAUCCAGUCCAUUUGUGGUUUCACUUCAGCCAACCUCUCUCGUGCAACAGAAACUACACACCAUCUGUCAGGCCAGUCUGGAUCAAAACAACUGGGAACAGGUCGGUCUUUAGUGAAUGCCAUCGGGAGUGACUCAGCUCUCAUCAGAGGUACUGUGGCAGCAACCUGUUUCAGUGUGGCCCUGCCAUUAUCAUCAAUCAUGAGACAGAAACUGUGUAUAAAGCCAACGGGGAUAAUAUGAUGUCAAGUCAGUUAAUAGACAGUUUCCAACUUGUUCUCCUAUCACAACUUUUUUCCCUUUAUUGGAGUUCAUUUAUACCUUUCUUUUGCUACACCUCAGUGCAGAGGAUCUGGCAGUGAAAUGAUGAUUAAAACUGAACUGCAUGUUGUGCAAAUGAAAGCCCACAGCUGCCUCUCAAACAGCUUGACUGUGACUGAAUACAAAAAGGAAAAUGUGGCUAAUUAGAAUAAAAAUUAUGUUCGACUCCAAGUACAAUUCCUGUCAGUUUUUGCUAUUGCUAACAUCAGUGUAGAUACCUUCUAUUUGCUCAAAUUGCCCAGGGACCCUGGAGAAAAUGCGGACCCUGCAGUACUAAUGAUGGAGCAAAGCAAUUUUGUUUUCCGUGUCUUUUGGGCCACUGACCACUCGCCUUUAGAUAGGAGUUUUAUUUCAUAAUGUUUUGUUUCCUGUUUGGCUCUCCUGUGAUAAUUUAUCCCAAUUGAAAAUAAGACAAAAGCACUCAAGUGUAACCAGCUUCCUCAAUCUGCUUUCAUUUUAGAACAGCAAUGAAUGGUUUCAACCUUUAUCAGGAGUUUCCAGAGGUGGUGUGUGUCCUGCAUUAUGAUUUGCAUAAAGUAGUCCAGACUGUGGGGACGCACCAUAAGGCUUUAACUAGCUUUAUUUCAGUACAUAAAGGACUGAGAGAGUUAUUAUAGUUAUUAUACAGUUAUUUUUACAAGAAGAAAUGUAAAGAUGGAUGCAAACUGGAAGAAACUUUUCAUUUCAACUUUAACAA
Molecule: long non-coding RNA, 1240 nt
Filed under: Oreochromis niloticus (Nile tilapia)
Lineage: Eukaryota; Metazoa; Chordata; Actinopteri; Cichliformes; Cichlidae
Description: lncRNA (ENSONIG00000043219.1)
Source: RNAcentral